This 505-nucleotide long non-coding RNA is filed under the name Amphimedon queenslandica. RNAcentral describes it as "uncharacterized LOC109586059". The record is from RNAcentral. Lineage: Eukaryota; Metazoa; Porifera; Demospongiae; Haplosclerida; Niphatidae.
AGACUAAUGGAGAUGCUAAUGGAGUAUCCACUUCACCAACUGGUGGUACAUCAACUGGUAGAGAAGUGGUUGCUAUUGGAGACUACACAGCUCAAUAUUCUGAUGAACUGACCUUCUCUGAGGGAGAAAUAAUUCAAAUAUUAAAAGAAGUUGAUGAUAACUGGUAUCAUGGUGUGUGUCAGGAUAAAGUUGGUAUAUUUCCAAAGACUUACGUCAGAGAACCUUAACAACAACCAGCUGCUAACAACCAGCUCUACCUGCUCCUCUUCCUCUCUCUUCAUGAUCCUCUCUUGUAGUCAUUAGCUGUUUAUGAGUUAAUCAAUUGUUUUAUUUGACAUCAUUUUAUUUUAUUCACUGACAAUUAUGGUAUUAUUUUAUUUUCUUGCUGUUAUUAUUGUGAUCUAUUACAAUUAUCUAUUCUAUUAUUCAUUGUUGCAUGUGAAGUGUAUUGAAUCUAUUGAUAAUGAAUUCCUGAUGUGUGUUGUGCACUUCUAGUAAAAACUAA